CCUACGGGAGGCAGCAGUGAGGAAUAUUGGUCAAUGGACGGAAGUCUGAACCAGCCAUGCCGCGUGCAGGAAGACGGCUCUAUGAGUUGUAAACUGCUUUUGUACAAGGGUACAACUGAAUACGUGUAUUCAGCUGAAAGUAUUGUACGAAUAAGGAUCGGCUAACUUCGUGCCAGCAGCGGCGGUAAUACGGAGGAUCCAAGCGUUAUCCGGAUUUAGUGGGUUUAAAGGGUGCGUGGGCGGAUUGAGAAGUUAGAGGUGAAAUGUCCGAGCUUAACUCGGGAACUGCCUCUAAUACUGUUGAUCUAGAGAGUAGAUGCGGUAGGCGGAAUGUAUGGUGUAGCGGUGAAAUGCUUAGAGCUCAUACAGAACACCGAUUGCGAAGGCAGCUUACCAAUCUAUAUCUGACGUUGAGACACGAAAGCGUGGGGAGCAAACAGGAUUAGAUACCCCUGUAGUC
Molecule: ribosomal RNA, 460 nt
Filed under: uncultured bacterium
Lineage: Bacteria
Description: partial 16S ribosomal RNA
Rfam family: Bacterial small subunit ribosomal RNA
Source: RNAcentral